RNAcentral lists this ribosomal RNA (464 nucleotides) under Vreelandella stevensii. RNAcentral's name for it is "partial 16S ribosomal RNA". It matches the Rfam family "Bacterial small subunit ribosomal RNA", at positions 338 to 795 of the family's 1533-position model. The record is from RNAcentral. Lineage: Bacteria; Pseudomonadati; Pseudomonadota; Gammaproteobacteria; Oceanospirillales; Halomonadaceae.
CCUACGGGCGGCAGCAGUGGGGAAUAUUGGACAAUGGGGGGAACCCUGAUCCAGCCAUGCCGCGUGUGUGAAGAAGGCCCUCGGGUUGUAAAGCACUUUCAGUGAGGAAGAACGCCUGGUGGUUAAUACCCAUCAGGAAAGACAUCACUCACAGAAGAAGCACCGGCUAACUCCGUGCCAGCAGCCGCGGUAAUACGGAGGGUGCGAGCGUUAAUCGGAAUUACUGGGCGUAAAGCGCGCGUAGGUGGCUUGAUAAGCCGGUUGUGAAAGCCCCGGGCUCAACCUGGGAACGGCAUCCGGAACUGUCAAGCUAGAGUGCAGGAGAGGAAGGUAGAAUUCCCGGUGUAGCGGUGAAAUGCGUAGAGAUCGGGAGGAAUACCAGUGGCGAAGGCGGCCUUCUGGACUGACACUGACACUGAGGUGCGAAAGCGUGGGUAGCAAACAGGAUAGAAACCCUUGUAGUC